ACUUACCUGGGUUAAUCAAAGGUGCAAGGCGCAGAGAUGCGUCCCCCGGGCAACCGGCGCUUUUGAAGGUGCUGCAUGGCUGUCGUCAGCUCGUGUCGUGAGAUGUUGGGUUAAGUCCCGCAACGAGCGCAACCCUUACCAUUAGUUGCCAGCGAUUCGGUCGGGCACUCUAGUGGAACUGCCGGUGAUAAACCGGAGGAAGGUGGGGAUGACGUCAAGUCAUCAUGGCCUCUAUGUCCAGGGCUACACACGUGCUACAAUGGCCGGUACAAACCGCAGCAAACCCGCGAGGGGGAGCCAAUCGGAAAAAACCGGCCUCAGUUCGGAUUGCAGUCUGCAACUCGACUGCAUGAAGUUGGAAUCGCUAGUAAUCGCGGAUCAGCACGCCGCGGUGAAUACGUUCCCGGGUCUUGUACACACCG
This 422-nucleotide ribosomal RNA is filed under the name uncultured bacterium. RNAcentral's name for it is "bacterial SSU rRNA". It matches the Rfam family "Bacterial small subunit ribosomal RNA", at positions 969 to 1392 of the family's 1533-position model. The record is from RNAcentral.